UACGUAGGGGGCAAGCGUUGUCCGGAAUCAUUGGGCGUAAAGAGCGUGUAGGCGGCCAGAAAAGUCCGCUGUGAAAACUCGAGGCUCAACUUCGAGCUGUCGGUGGAAACUUUCUGGCUAGAGUCCGGAAGAGGAGAAUGGAAUUCCUGGUGUAGCGGUGAAAUGACGCAGAUAUCAGGAAGAACACCCGUGGCGAAGGCGGUUCUCUGGGACGGUACUGACGCUGAGACGCGAAAGCGUGGGGGAGC
RNAcentral lists this ribosomal RNA (248 nucleotides) under uncultured bacterium. RNAcentral describes it as "partial 16S ribosomal RNA". It matches the Rfam family "Bacterial small subunit ribosomal RNA", at positions 524 to 769 of the family's 1533-position model. The record is from RNAcentral.